GACGAACGCUGGCGGCGUGCUUAACACAUGCAAGUCGAACGGAAAGGCCCUGCUUUUGUGGGGUGCUCGAGUGGCGAACGGGUGAGUAACACGUGAGUAACCUGUCCUUGACUUUGGGAUAACUUCAGGAAACUGGGGCUCAUACCGGAUAGGAGCUCCUGCUGCAUGGUGGGGGUUGGAAAGUUUCGGCGGUUGGGGAUGGACUCGCGGCUUAUCAGCUUGUUGGUGGGGUAGUGGCUUACCAAGGCUUUGACGGGUAGCCGGCCUGAGAGGGUGACCGGCCACAUUGGGACUGAGAUACGGCCCAGACUCCUACGGGAGGCAGCAGUGGGGAAUAUUGCACAAUGGGCGGAAGCCUGAUGCAGCAACGCCGCGUGCGGGAUGACGGCCUUCGGGUUGUAAACCGAUUUCGCCUGUGACGAAGCGUGAGUGACGGUAAUGGGUAAAGAAGCACCGGCUAACUACGUG
RNAcentral lists this ribosomal RNA (468 nucleotides) under uncultured bacterium. RNAcentral describes it as "partial 16S ribosomal RNA". It matches the Rfam family "Bacterial small subunit ribosomal RNA", at positions 28 to 507 of the family's 1533-position model. The record is from RNAcentral.